RNAcentral lists this small RNA (77 nucleotides) under Staphylococcus aureus. RNAcentral's name for it is "3'UTR". Lineage: Bacteria; Bacillati; Bacillota; Bacilli; Caryophanales; Staphylococcaceae. The record is from RNAcentral.
UCUUUCACAUAUAAACGUAUUGUUGAUUUUUGAGAUAAAUUUUUAAUUGAAAUGAAACUAGUAUGUCCAGCUUUUAA